GAUGAAGAACGUAGCGAAAUGCGAUACGUAAUGUGAAUUGCAGAAUUCAGUGAAUCAUCGAAUCUUUGAACGCACAUUGCGCCCGCCAGCAUUCUGGCGGGCAUGCCUGUCCGAGCGUCAUUUCAACCCUCAGGGUCCCCCCGCCUCGCGCGGUCGGAGCCUGGUGUUGGGGCUCGGCCCGCCCCGCGCGGCGCCGUCCCCCAAAUACAGUGGCGGUCCCGCCGCAGCCUCCCCUGCGCAGUAGUUAUCAACUCGCACUGGAGCGCGGCGCGGCCACGCCGUAAAACCCCCGACUUUCAGAAAGUUGACCUCGGAUCAGGUAGGAAUACCCGCUGAACUUAAGCAUAUCAAUAAGCGGAGGA
Molecule: unclassified non-coding RNA, 362 nt
Filed under: soil metagenome
Description: partial contains 5.8S ribosomal RNA, internal transcribed spacer 2, and large subunit ribosomal RNA
Rfam family: 5.8S ribosomal RNA (bases 1-120)
Source: RNAcentral